AUCCAGUUGACGACUCCCAAACAGAAGGAAACACACGUCUUGUAU
Molecule: non-coding RNA, 45 nt
Filed under: Schistosoma haematobium
Lineage: Eukaryota; Metazoa; Platyhelminthes; Trematoda; Strigeidida; Schistosomatidae
Source: RNAcentral